UUAAGCGACUAAGCGUACACGGUGGAUGCCCUGGCAGUCAGAGGCGAUGAAGGACGUGCUAAUCUGCGAUAAGCGUCGGUAAGGUGAUAUGAACCGUUAUAACCGGCGAUUUCCGAAUGGGGAAACCCAGUGUGUUUCGACACACUAUCAUUAACUGAAUCCAUAGGUUAAUGAGGCGAACCGGGGGAACUGAAACAUCUAAGUACCCCGAGGAAAAGAAAUCAACCGAGAUUCCCCCAGUAGCGGCGAGCGAACGGGGAGCAGCCCAGAGCCUGAAUCAGUGUGUGUGUUAGUGGAAGCGUCUGGAAAGGCGCGCGAUACAGGGUGACAGCCCCGUACACAAAAAUGCACAUACUGUGAGCUCGAUGAGUAGGGCGGGACACGUGGUAUCCUGUCUGAAUAUGGGGGGACCAUCCUCCAAGGCUAAAUACUCCUGACUGACCGAUAGUGAACCAGUACCGUGAGGGAAAGGCGAAAAGAACCCCGGCGAGGGGAGUGAAAAAGAACCUGAAACCGUGUACGUACAAGCAGUGGGAGCCUCUUAAUGGGGUGACUGCGUACCUUUUGUAUAAUGGGUCAGCGACUUAUAUUCUGUAGCAAGGUUAACCGAAUAGGGGAGCCGAAGGGAAACCGAGUCUUAACUGGGCGUUAAGUUGCAGGGUAUAGACCCGAAACCCGGUGAUUCAGCCAUGGGCAGGUUGAAGGUUGGGUAACACUAACUGGAGGACCGAACCGACUAAUGUUGAAAAAUUAGCGGAUGACUUGUGGCUGGGGGUGAAAGGCCAAUCAAACCGGGAGAUAGCUGGUUCUCCCCCGAAAGCUAUUUAGGUAGCGCCUCGUGAAUUCAUCUCCGGGGGUAGAGCACUGUUUCGGCAAGGGGGUCAUCCCGACUUACCAACCCGAUGCAAACUGCGAAUACCGGAGAAUGUUAUCACGGGAGACACACGGCGGGUGCUAACGUCCGUCGUGAAGAGGGAAACAACCCAGACCGCCAGCUAAGGUCCCAAAGUCAUGGUUAAGUGGGAAACGAUGUGGGAAGGCCCAGACAGCCAGGAUGUUGGCUUAGAAGCAGCCAUCAUUUAAAGAAAGCGUAAUAGCUCACUGGUCGAGUCGGCCUGCGCGGAAGAUGUAACGGGGCUAAACCAUGCACCGAAGCUGCGGCAGCGACACUAUGUGUUGUUGGGUAGGGGAGCGUUCUGUAAGCCUGUGAAGGUGUACUGUGAGGUAUGCUGGAGGUAUCAGAAGUGCGAAUGCUGACAUAAGUAACGAUAAAGCGGGUGAAAAGCCCGCUCGCCGGAAGACCAAGGGUUCCUGUCCAACGUUAAUCGGGGCAGGGUGAGUCGACCCCUAAGGCGAGGCCGAAAGGCGUAGUCGAUGGGAAACAGGUUAAUAUUCCUGUACUUGGUGUUACUGCGAAGGGGGGACGGAGAAGGCUAUGUUGGCCGGGCGACGGUUGUCCCGGUUUAAGCGUGUAGGCUGGUUUUCCAAGGCAAAUCCGGAAAAUCAAGGCUGAGGCGUGAUGACGAGGCACUACGGUGCUGAAGCAACAAAUGCCCUGCUUCCAGGAAAAGCCUCUAAGCAUCAGGUAACAUCAAAUCGUACCCCAAACCGACACAGGUGGUCAGGUAGAGAAUACCAAGGCGCUUGAGAGAACUCGGGUGAAGGAACUAGGCAAAAUGGUGCCGUAACUUCGGGAGAAGGCACGCUGAUAUGUAGGUGAAGUCCCUUGCGGAUGGAGCUGAAAUCAGUCGAAGAUACCAGCUGGCUGCAACUGUUUAUUAAAAACACAGCACUGUGCAAACACGAAAGUGGACGUAUACGGUGUGACGCCUGCCCGGUGCCGGAAGGUUAAUUGAUGGGGUUAGCGGUAACGCGAAGCUCUUGAUCGAAGCCCCGGUAAACGGCGGCCGUAACUAUAACGGUCCUAAGGUAGCGAAAUUCCUUGUCGGGUAAGUUCCGACCUGCACGAAUGGCGUAAUGAUGGCCAGGCUGUCUCCACCCGAGACUCAGUGAAAUUGAACUCGCUGUGAAGAUGCAGUGUACCCGCGGCAAGACGGAAAGACCCCGUGAACCUUUACUAUAGCUUGACACUGAACAUUGAGCCUUGAUGUGUAGGAUAGGUGGGAGGCUUUGAAGUGUGGACGCCAGUCUGCAUGGAGCCGGCCUUGAAAUACCACCCUUAAUGUUUGAUGUUCUAACGUUGGCCCCUGAUCGGGGUUGCGGACAGUGUCUGGUGGGUAGUUUGACUGGGGCGGUCUCCUAAAGAGUAACGGAGGAGCACGAAGGUUGGCUAAUCUGGUCGGACAUCAGGAGGUUAGUGCAAUGGCAUAAGCCAGCUUGACUGCGAGCGUGACGGCGCGAGCAGGUGCGAAAGCAGGUCAUAGUGAUCCGGUGGUUCUGAAUGGAAGGGCCAUCGCUCAACGGAUAAAAGGUACCCGGGGAUAACAGGCUGAUACCGCCCAAGAGUUCAUAUCGACGGCGGUGUUUGGCACCUCGAUGUCGGCUCAUCACAUCCUGGGGCUGAAGUAGGUCCCAAGGGUAUGGCUGUUCGCCAUUUAAAGUGGUACGCGAGCUGGGUUUAGAACGUCGUGAGACAGUUCGGUCCCUAUCUGCCGUGGGCGCUGGAGAACUGAGGGGGGCUGCUCCUAGUACGAGAGGACCGGAGUGGACGCAUCACUGGUGUUCGGGUUGUCAUGCCAAUGGCACUGCCCGGUAGCUAAAUGCGGAAGAGAUAAGUGCUGAAAGCAUCUAAGCACGAAACUUGCCCCGAGAUGAGUUCUCCCUGACUCUUUAAGGGUCCUGAAGGAACGUUGAAGACGACGACGUUAAUAGGCCGGGUGUGUAAGCGCAGCGAUGCGUUGAGCUAACCGGUACUAAUGAACCGUGAGGCUUAACCU
RNAcentral lists this ribosomal RNA (2897 nucleotides) under Escherichia coli. RNAcentral's name for it is "23S ribosomal RNA". It matches the Rfam family "Bacterial large subunit ribosomal RNA". The record is from RNAcentral. Lineage: Bacteria; Pseudomonadati; Pseudomonadota; Gammaproteobacteria; Enterobacterales; Enterobacteriaceae.